UUUUUUUUUUUAGGAAUUAGUAGAAAGAAAAUAAGGGAAAGAAAAUGGGGUUAUGUUUAUGAAUACAUAAAUAGACCAGAAGUAGAAAACUGUGGUUUGCUUGCUGGCAUUGAGCUGUAUUAGGAUAUUAAAUGUGUAGGGUCAAGUUCUGUGAUGAUUCAAUCUUUGCCUUGUAUUGAUGGCAUGUCCAGAUCUCUUUGUUUUUAUGGACAUUUUUUGCUUUGCUGAUGUGACUUCAAGAUUUGUAAGUUUUUAAUUUUAUUCUUAGGUAUGGAGAGAAAAACAAUGCAUUCAUUGUUGCCAGCUUUGAAAAUAAAGAUGAGAACAAGGAUGAGAUCUCCAGGAAAGUUACCAGGGCCCUUGAUAAGGUUACCUCUGAUUAUCAUUCAGGAUCCUCUUCUUCAGAUGAAGAAACAAGUAAGGAAAUAGAAGUGAAACCCAAUUCGGUGACUGCAGCCGCAAGUCCUGUGUACCAGAUUUCAGAACUUAUAUUUCCACCUCUUCCAAUGUGGCACCCUUUGCCCAGAAAAAAGCCAGGAAUGUAUCGAGGGAAUGGCCAUCAGAAUCACUAUCCUCCUCCUGUUCCAUUUGGUUAUCCAAAUCAGGGAAGGAAAAAUAAACCAUAUCGCCCAAUUCCAGUGACAUGGGUACCUCCUCCUGGAAUGCAUUGUGACCGGAAUCACUGGAUUAAUCCUCACAUGUUAGCACCUCACUAACUU
This 719-nucleotide small RNA is filed under the name Pan troglodytes (chimpanzee). Its description in RNAcentral is "retained intron". The record is from RNAcentral. Lineage: Eukaryota; Metazoa; Chordata; Mammalia; Primates; Hominidae.